UAUGAACCACUACACAACUCAAGUUAUUGGUGUAAUAUUAGCGUUGCUCGAUGAUUUGGAUGAAUCAGUCCAACUAACUGCUGUGUCAUGCUUAUUGAUGGUCACAGAGACAGCAUCUAAUGAUGCUGUUGAACCUAUCUUGCUGAAUUUAUCUGUUCGGCUUCGUAACCUUCAGAUUAGCAUAGACCCGAAGAUGAGAGCCAGCG
This is a long non-coding RNA of Brassica oleracea var. oleracea, 206 nucleotides long. RefSeq lists it as uncharacterized. The transcript is spliced from 3 exons. NCBI's taxonomy places the organism in Eukaryota, Viridiplantae, Streptophyta, Magnoliopsida, Brassicales, Brassicaceae. The record is from RefSeq and is a predicted model, not a curated record.